Long non-coding RNA from Limulus polyphemus (Atlantic horseshoe crab), 295 nucleotides. RefSeq lists it as uncharacterized. The record is from RefSeq and is a predicted model, not a curated record. The transcript has 3 exons. NCBI's taxonomy places the organism in Eukaryota, Metazoa, Arthropoda, Merostomata, Xiphosura, Limulidae.
ACGGUGUUGAUAGUUGGUGUGAUGUGUUACAGGUCAGGGUAUUGAUAUUUGGUGUGAUGUAUUACAGGUCAGGGUAUUGAUAUCUGGUGUGAUGUAUUACAAGUCAGGGUAUUGAUAUCUGGUGUGAUGUAUUACAAGUCAGGGUAUUGAUAUCUGGUGUGAUGUAUUACAAGUCAGGGUAUUGAUAUCUGGUGUGAUGUAUUACAGGUCAGGGUAUUGAUAUCUGGUGUGAUGUAUUACAAGUCAGGGUAUUGAUAUCUGGUGUGAUGUAUUACAGGUCAGGGUAUUGAUAUCU